Rattus norvegicus (Norway rat) is the source of this 813-nucleotide long non-coding RNA. NCBI's taxonomy places the organism in Eukaryota, Metazoa, Chordata, Mammalia, Rodentia, Muridae. The record is from Ensembl.
GCAAUGCAGCCAUACUAGAUACUUUAGUGUUCGAUGACUGCGAUACCGGACAGAAACAGUUUACAGGAUUAAACCAUUUUUAUCAGUUUGCAGUUUCAGAGUUCAGUCCAUCAUAGAGAAUUCAUGACUACUCAGUUCAGGGCAGCAGGAGAGUGUGGCGGAGGCUGUUUACAUUACGGUUGACCAUGAAGCCAGAACACAGAAGAACAAAAUUCAAACUGGAAACACAUUUCACUCUCCUGACACAGAAGGCCGCCCACCAGGAAACAGGGCCAUUUGCUGACUUGGAACUUCAGGCUUCCAUUUCCCCAAUCCUUGUUCUGAUAGAGAGGGCGCUAGCUUCAGGAACAGUCACUGCUACAGAUACAUCGCAAAUCACAGCAGAAAGUCGGGCUCGCCACAUCCCCGUCUCUAAAGCUGAUACCACCUUUAUGACAAUACAAAGAUGCAUGUGUGCCCUGUCAGUCCUUUUUAUUUUUCAAAUGGAGACAGAAGAGAAAGGGAUGAUGAUGAUGAUGAUGACAACGACGACGAUGGUGGCAGUGGUGGUGGUGGUGAUGAUGAUGAACUUCUAUCAGAAGAAAAGGGCAUGAAGAGCUUUGAGUCCCCUUCCUUAACUGUCUUUCAUGUACAAUGAAUUCUCCUUUACUGUAGGCUGAAUUUUAAAUGUGAUUCACCCUCUUUAUUAGAGGCUGAUGGGUUGAUGGUCAUGUCUGAUAGUUAGAGGAGAAGUGAAUUAUACACAGUAUAGCAAGAGCCAACCUGAUUGUUUUCUAAGCAAAUUGUUUAUAAGCAAAUUCAAAAACUAACAGC